AUUGAACGCUGGCGGCAGGCCUAACACAUGCAAGUCGAGCGGCAGCGGGACCUUCGGGUUGCCGGCGAGCGGCGGACGGGUGAGUAAUGCCUAGGAAUCUGCCUGUUAGUGGGGGAUAACGCGGGGAAACUCGCGCUAAUACCGCAUACGUCCUACGGGAGAAAGCGGGGGCUCUUCGGACCUCGCGCUAACAGAGUAGCCUAGGGCGGAUUAGGUAGUUGGUGGGGUAAUGGCCCACCAAGGCGACGAUCCGUAACUGGUCUGAGAGGAUGAUCAGUCACACUGGAACUGAGACACGGUCCAGACUCCUACGGGAGGCAGCAGUGGGGAAUAUUGGACAAUGGGCGAAAGCCUGAUCCAGCCAUGCCGCGUGUGUGAAGAAGGUCUUCGGAUUGUAAAGCACUUUAAGUCGGGAGGAAGGGCUGUAGGCUAAUACCUUGCAGUUUUGACGUUACCGACAGAAUAAGCACCGGCUAACUUCGUGCCAGCAGCCGCCGCGG
This 500-nucleotide ribosomal RNA is filed under the name uncultured bacterium. RNAcentral describes it as "partial 16S ribosomal RNA". It matches the Rfam family "Bacterial small subunit ribosomal RNA", at positions 30 to 523 of the family's 1533-position model. The record is from RNAcentral.